RNAcentral lists this unclassified non-coding RNA (307 nucleotides) under plant metagenome. RNAcentral's name for it is "partial contains 5.8S ribosomal RNA, internal transcribed spacer 2, and large subunit ribosomal RNA". The stretch from base 1 to 105 matches the Rfam family "5.8S ribosomal RNA", at positions 50 to 154 of the family's 154-position model. The record is from RNAcentral.
GAAAUGCGAUAAGUAGUGUGAAUUGCAGAAUUCAGUGAAUCAUCGAAUCUUUGAACGCACAUUGCGCCCCUCGGUAUUCCGUGGGGCAUGCCUGUUCGAGCGUCAUCUACACCCUCAAGCUCUGCUUGGUGUUGGGCGUCUGUCCCGCCUCCGCGCGCGGACUCGCCCCAAAUGCAUUGGCAGCGGUUCCUUGCCCCCCUCUUUGCGCAUCACAUUGCCAUUCGAGGCGGCGGCGGCCCGCGUCCAACAAGCUCAACCCCCCCGUCUUUGACCUCGGAUCAGGUAGGGAUACCCGCUGAACUUAAGC